Molecule: non-coding RNA, 107 nt
Filed under: Listeria floridensis
Lineage: Bacteria; Bacillati; Bacillota; Bacilli; Caryophanales; Listeriaceae
Description: SAM-I sequence
Rfam family: SAM riboswitch aptamer (S box leader)
About the family: The SAM riboswitch is found upstream of a number of genes which code for proteins involved in methionine or cysteine biosynthesis in Gram-positive bacteria. The SAM riboswitch acts at the level of transcription termination control.
Source: RNAcentral
CUCUUAUCCAGAGCGGUAGAGGGACUGGCCCUUUGAAGCCCGGCAACCUACACUUGUUGUAAGGUGCUAACCUGAGCAGGAUUUCUUGUAAUCCUGAUCGAUGAGAG